Molecule: ribosomal RNA, 232 nt
Filed under: uncultured bacterium
Lineage: Bacteria
Description: partial 16S ribosomal RNA
Rfam family: Bacterial small subunit ribosomal RNA
Source: RNAcentral
CGGGACGGGUGAGUAAUGUCUGGGAAACUGCCCGAUGGAGGGGGGUAACUACUGGAAACGGUAGCUAAUACCGCAUAACGUCGCAAGACCAAAGAGGGGGACUUCGGGCCUCUUGCCAUCGGAUGUGCCCAGAUGGGAUUAGCUAGUAGGUGGGGUAAUGGCUCACCUAGGCGACGAUCCCUAGCUGGUCUGAGAGGAUGACCAGCCACACUGGAACUGAGACACGGUCCAG